CUGGGCGUAAGAGUUGCGUAGGCGGCAUGGUAAGUAGGUAGUGAAAGCGUGGGGCUCAACCCCAUACACAUUAUCUAAACUGCCAAGCUAGAGAGUGAGAGAGGUAUCUGGAAUUCCCAGUGUAGGAGUGAAAUCCGUAGAUAUUGGGAGGAACACCGAUGGCGUAGGCAGGGUACUGGCUCAUUUCUGACGCUAAGGCACGAAAGCGUGGGGAGCAAACGGGAUUAGAUACCCCGGUAGUCCACGCCGUAAACUAUGGAUGCUAGCCGUAUGGGGUAUCGACCCCCUAUGUGGCGAAGCUAACGCGUUAAGCAUCCCGCCUGUGGAGUACGAGCGCAAGCUUAAAACAUAAAGGAAUUGACGGGGACCCGCACAAGCGGUGGAGCGUGUUGUUUAAUUCGAUGGUAAGCGAAGAACCUUACCCAGGCUUGACAUCCUGCUAAGGUUUCCGAAAGGAAACUGUGCCUUUAUGGAAGGCAGUGACAGGUGAUGCAUGGCCGUCGUCAGCUCGUGUCGUGAGAUGUUUGGUUAAGUCCAUCAACGAGCGCAACCCCUUUGUUUAGUUGAAUUUCUCUAAACAGACUGCCCUGGCAACAGGGAGGAAGGAGGGGUCGAAGUCAGGUCAGUAU
This 629-nucleotide ribosomal RNA is filed under the name uncultured bacterium. RNAcentral's name for it is "bacterial SSU rRNA". It matches the Rfam family "Bacterial small subunit ribosomal RNA", at positions 554 to 1196 of the family's 1533-position model. The record is from RNAcentral.